This 497-nucleotide ribosomal RNA is filed under the name uncultured bacterium. RNAcentral's name for it is "partial 16S ribosomal RNA". It matches the Rfam family "Bacterial small subunit ribosomal RNA", at positions 28 to 507 of the family's 1533-position model. The record is from RNAcentral.
GAUUAACGCUGGCGGCGUACCUAAUACAUGCAAGUCGAGCGAACAGACUAGGAGCUUGCUCCUCUGACGUUAGCGGCGGACGGGUGAGUAACACGUGGAUAACCUACCUAUAAGACUGGGAUAACUUCGGGAAACCGGAGCUAAUACCGGAUAAUAUAUUGAACCGCAUGGUUCAAUAGUGAAAGACGGUUUUGCUGUCACUUAUAGAUGGAUCCGCGCCGCAUUAGCUAGUUGGUAAGGUAACGGCUUACCAAGGCAACGAUGCGUAGCCGACCUGAGAGGGUGAUCGGCCACACUGGAACUGAGACACGGUCCAGACUCCUACGGGAGGCAGCAGUAGGGAAUCUUCCGCAAUGGGCGAAAGUCUGACGGAGCAACGCCGCGUGAGUGAUGAAGGUCUUCGGAUCGUAAAACUCUGUUAUUAGGGAAGAACAAAUGUGUAAGUAACUAUGCACGUCUUGACGGUACCUAAUCAGAAAGCCACGGCUAACUACGUG